RNAcentral lists this ribosomal RNA (422 nucleotides) under Verrucomicrobiota bacterium. Its description in RNAcentral is "Verrucomicrobia bacterium partial 16S ribosomal RNA". It matches the Rfam family "Bacterial small subunit ribosomal RNA", at positions 355 to 776 of the family's 1533-position model. The record is from RNAcentral. Lineage: Bacteria; Pseudomonadati; Verrucomicrobiota.
UGGGGAAUUUUGCACAAUGGGCGCAAGCCUGAUGCAGCGACGCCGCGUGAGGGAUGAAGGCCUUCGGGUUGUAAACCUUUUUCGCUCAUGGUCAAGCCGCAGCUUUGGGUUGUGGUGAGGGUAGUGGGUAAAGAAGCGCCGGCUAACUACGUGCCAGCAGCCGCGGUAAUACGUAGGGCGCGAGCGUUGUCCGGAAUUAUUGGGCGUAAAGGGCUUGUAGGCGGUUGGCCGCGUCUGCCGUGAAAUCCUCUGGCUUAACUGGGGGCGUGCGGUGGGUACGGGUUGACUUGAGUGCGGUAGGGGAGACUGGAAUUCCUGGUGUAGCGGUGGAAUGCGCAGAUAUCAGGAGGAACACCGAUGGCGAAGGCAGGUCUCUGGGCAGUAACUGACGCUGAGGAGCGAAAGCAUGGGUAGCGAACAGG